GCCUCUCUCUGUGUCUCUUAUGAAUAGGUAAAUAAAAUCUUUAAAAAAUAAAAUAAAAAUAAAUAAAUAAAUAACAUCUUUCCCAUCAGUCCUCUAGACCAAAUAUGUAUGCUUAGUAUCUUUAAUGUGCUAUAGGAUUUCCAGAGUCUCGUGGGAAUUCAAAUUUUUAAUAAAUUAUUUCUCAUUUGCAAAUUAGGUUUAAAACAAGAGAAGUGAAUAAGAUACUUUAAGUUGACAAGCAGUGUGGAGAAGGAGCUGAGCUGGAAAGAACAGAAAGUUCUUUUUGGCCUUGAAAUGAGGUCUGGACUGGGCCACUUCAGUGUCUCUGCUUGCCUCUCUGUGCAGUAAGGCUAAUACGAGCAUACUACAUGAUUAGAUGAUAGAUGUGAGAGACAUUAGGCUUUCACAAAUGAUCAAAAUACAAAGCACAUCUUUCUCACUAUGAUUAUGCUGUCUUUUGGAGCAAAACAAUUCUAUAUAGUAGUAGUAUCUUGUAUACUACUGAAAUGAAAUGAAAUGAAUGAUAGUUUUAUUUUAACCAACAGUCAUAUCUGAAUCUUGACCAUUAUAUUUUUCACUGAGCUACUCUCAGGGAACAAAUGAACCAUAGAACUCGUAUUCUUAGCAAAUGCUCCCAAUGCAGUCUGGUUCCCAUCAGAAUGAGUUCAGGAAAUGCCAAAAGCCAGGCAGGCCACUUAAGAAAGGAAGGAAAACAAAUAGUUGAGAUAAUCUCCUAAGUGGACGAUCAGCUCCUAAAGAGAAGAAGAUUGGGGAUACCUCAUUUAUGCUAGGUUGAUAUUCUAAUACUAUUAGGGUAUGUUCUUUCUAAGCAGUGAAUUAUGCAGCUACUAUAUCAAGAGUGUCUGGAGCAAGGUCAUAUCUUCUCAUCAGGAGUCCUUGGUGUCCAGCACGGUGCCCGGAACAUACCCCGCUCCUAGCUAAGGUUUCUUGAAUGACCAGUUAUAGCAACUCAAAAGUUUGUUACUUACCUAUGCCUUUGAUUUUCUCAACAAAUCUUAACUUUACAGAUGAAGAAAAAGUAGUUUCAGAGAGGUUUGUUUUUUGUUUUGGGUUUUUUUUUUUUUUUUUUUUUUAGUUGAAAUAUAGUUGACAUACAAUAUUAUAUUAUUUUCAAGUCUUUCAUUUCUGGCCUCUAGGUUUCUUAGCACCAAAUCCACUACUACCCCAGAAGUAGAGCUUCUUGCUUUUUCAGGGACCAGUGGGAAUGACCUAUGUUUCCUCAAGGGGAAUUCUGUGCUGAUGCAGUUCCUUUCCUACAAAUACUAGGUUUCCAAGAAUCCAGAUAUACCUCAUGAAGUUUGAAAAGGUGUCUCUCAAGUGAUAAGCAUUUUGUAGGUGUUGGAUAAUGAAUAUGGCAGGAAAGCCAUGGGAAAAAUCUUCAUCUCUACCUGCAGUCCUUACCCUUCAUAGUCUCCUAUCAGUUUAUUGACUAACAGUUGUAAAAGCUUAAUUAAAGUGCUCUUAAAAACACUGGCAUUUGUCUAGCACCUUGUUCACAAAGUGCUUUCAAAUACAUAUAUAUAUGUAUGUGUAUAUAUAUAUAUACACACACACACACACACACACACACAUAUAUAUAUAUAUACACACAAUGUUCCUUACAACAUUGUUCUUCUACCUCAGAAGACUGACUAGUCACCUUUUUAAAUUUUGAGUUAUCCAGAGAUUUACUGAAACAGAAACAAGUUGGCCAGAUACUCGCUUGGAAAAAAGCAGUUUUAAUGGUAUUCAAAAAUAUAUUUUAAAAGGUAUUCUAGCACAAGUUUUCUUUGUACACUAGAUAUGCUGUAAACUUUUUUGUAAAUAUUUUAAGGGUGUCAGUUCUUAAGAACUAGAAGUUAUUCCAAAUCUAUCUUGUGCUCCUGAAAAACUGCAGAAAAGCACUUGAAAGCUGUUUCUUUAAGAUACGGAUUUCUUUUUUUAUUCUUGCUGGUAAUAUAUUGCUGCACCGAAUUAUGUGCGAUUUUUCGCUCAGGAUCAUGAUGCUGCGAAAUUUCAUUGAUAACCUAUCCAUCUCUAGUUUCAACCAUCUUAAUCAGAAGUGUCCUUUUUGAGUGAGUGUCAAUCAGAGGGAGUGAAUCCAGAUUGGUUUUCUUCAGGUUCAGGGAAGAAAAGUUUGGAAGAACAGAGCAAUCAUGCUCUCCGUGCCUUCCAGCAGCUUCCUGUAAGAUUGUCCCCUUUUCCCCCCACUGCUUUAAUCCCCCAGCAUCUGGCCCAGCUUCUGACACAAAAAUAGAUGCUCAUUAAAUAGUUGCCAAACUAUUGGAUAGAUAGUUUGGUGGAAUAGAUAAUGAAUAAGGGAAUAGAUAAUGAAAAAGGGAAUAAAUAUAGGUUUGUGCCAUAUAAUGCUGUUAAAAUAAUAAAGCACAAUGCAAAACAGUAAUUUUGUUUGUAUUUUUAGGUCUUGAACUUUCCAAGGAUAGAGUUAAGAACACAGUAAACAAUGAAUGUCAGUAACACAUUCUAAAAUAAAAAUUUCUAAAAUUUAGCUUCUCCCCCUGAUCUUACAGUUUCAGAUUUUGGAAAGCUGCUGUUUUGUAACAGCACAGGAAUAUGAUAUGAUGUUACCUUUGCCUUUCUUAGGUGCCGCUUCCUUGCCCAUUCUUGGCACCGGCUGAAUUUCCUUCAUGUAUUGGGGCAGAUGUGGAUACUCUUUGCCAUACUGCACGUGGGGCAGCUCCUUGCCCAUGCUAAGGCCGUCUUUGCCCAAAGGCAUGUGAGGUACUUGCUGGCCCAGAGGCUGGUAUUGUGGAAUUUGCGGUGGGAUCUGAGGAGGAAUUUGUGGUGGCAGUGGCUUGAUCCCAUAGUAAGCACCAGCCUGAAUGAGCCUGACGGAGCCCAGGGAAAUGGUAAGCAGCACUCCCAGCAGCUGCAGAGGGCCGGGCGGCGCAGCCAUCACCUGUGGGAGGAAUGAAUGCACCAAUAUGGUGAGAACUAGCAGGCCACAUGACAGGUUUGGUUAGAUAAAAGAAACAGUCUUUAUCAUCAGAACGUCACCCAUGGAAGACAAAUGAAAAGGAGGAGGAAGACCGUUACCUCUCAGUAGGAAACAAGCAAAAAACAGAAAGGAGAAGGAACUGUCAAAUGAAAGCAGUGGGUGGGAUCAUAAACCAUGGGAAAUACUGCUGUAUUGUAUCCCUAAAUAUCAAUCCUGCCUUCUUCCAUAGUGUUGGAACUCUUGAUUUUUAGCUGGAACAGAGCAGCCCAGGAUAAAGAUAUUUCAGCCAGGUGUGGCGAUGUGACAAAGUUCUCUCCAAUUGGAUGUAGUUGUAAUGGGUACAACCUCUGAGAAGAAUCUUGAGAGUGGCCCUGUUUUUCUUCUUCCUGCUGGCUGAAAUGUGGAAAUGUUGCCUGGAAACAGACCAGAUGCCUUGGACCAGCAAGUGAUCUCUGUGUACUGAGCAUGGUGGAGCCAACAAGGUCUUGAUGAAAAUCUGAAUCCUCAUUGAAGGGUCAUCAUCAUGCUGGAGAAAGAAGUGGCAAGGUUCUCACAAUUUUUAAGGACAAUCUAAUGAAACAUUGGAAAACUGGAAGAAAGAGAAAUGCCUGGAAGAAGACCAGUUGAAUACCAAAGGCCCAGUGGGAUCUACUUUACUACAAUUAUUUCCUCUUGUAGGCUUGGCCUUUCUCUCCUGAAAACCACCUCCUUAGGUCUGCCAUCUGCCAUUUCUCUGGCUCUUUAUUUAAAUAAACUUUGUUCAGUUUUAACUUGAAUAUUUAUGUAGGGGCCCCGAUUAGAAUUUACCGCUUGACUUACCCUUACUAAUUUCCCUCUUGUCCCUGAGGAUAUUUUUGGUGGUCAAAGUGGUGUGGUGGUUCUCCCCAAAUCACUCAAAAGAACAUCAGAUUUGUAUAAUGCUGUACAAACACCUGGCGGGAGGAAGGAGCCUUGGAAUUUCAGCUGGGAAAAAUGGUAAUAAUGGGUUUUCUUUCCCCUUUUUCUGAGGAUGCAGGACACAUAAUGGGGUGAAUUCUAGUUGAUGUUUUCUUAGAUUUCUAUUUGAUAAUGUGUGUAUGCACGCUUGACUAUACACGAACAUAAACAUGUAUAAUGUGUGUGGACAGUGGAUCUUUGCCAGUCAGGCCAACUUAGUGAUGGGUCUCAUGUCAUUAAGGGAGAAGCCUUUAGAAGAAGCCAAAGACCUGGAUUUCGGUUGUACCUCUGCCAUUCAUCAUGUGGCUUUGGGCAAGUCCCUUAUCUUCACUAAGCCUCAGUUUCCUUCCCUAUAAAACAGCAACUAUAAAAAAGAAAUUACAAUCUCGGCCUCUCCCACAGAGCUGUUCAAGGACACGAAUGAUAAUAUGAAUUAUUUUUUGUAAGCUGAAAAGCACCGCUCAAAUUUAAGUUAUUAUUAAUGGAGUGUGACCAAAAAGACAAAUCAAAACCAACUGAAAUGUCAAAGACUUUCAAAGAAGGAUACUAGCCAAAAUAAAUGUGAGGUUAACUGCAGUAAUGAUAAACCUAACAUGAAUAAAAUAAUAAUGACCAUUAAAAUGUACUUGUUAAAAAUGGCAAAAAAGAACAGCUGAACUAGGGCAGUUACUCAUUCUGGUGUCAGAAUCACCAAUGCUAAUCAUUCUGAACAGCCCUAAAUGGUUCCCUAUAUUUGGGAAGGGCUGCAGUGAGUUUCAUUUCCUCAUGUGACCCGUAAUGUAUAUAGCAGAAUAAUGUGAUAUAUAUUAUUUUAGACGCUCCUCAGCAUUUUAUUUGUACAUUUAUCCCCAUGAGAUGUUGGCUUGCUGUGCAAAAGAAUGUUUAAGUAUUUAAACCUUCAGUUCUUGCCCUAAAUCCAACUUUCCUUUUCACAUGGCGCUAACACAGUGCGCAUGUCUGCCUGCUACCGUGUGUUUGUGUGUGUGUGUGUGUGUGUGUGUGUGUGUGUGGUGUAGACAAGCCUCUCUCAUCUGCUGCUUGACAGUCCCUCACACAGGAUUUGUAGUUUCUCAAGGCCUCAGAUUUUUUUUUAAAGAUUUUAUUUGUUUAUUCACAAGAGAUACAGAGAGGCAAAGACAUAGGCAGAGGAAGAAGCAGGCUCCAUGCAGGGAGCCCGAUGCAGGACUUGAUCCCAGAACCCUGGGGUUACAACCUGAGCCAAAGGCAGAUGCUCAACCACUGAGCCAUCCAGAUGCUCCAUCAAGCCCUCAGAUUUAUCAUCUUUGAAGCAAGGGGAAGUUAGAAUCCUACUCCUGCAGUAUUCACCAGAAUUGUCUUCUUGGCUUUCCUAUCCAUGCCUCUCAAAGAAUGUUCUCUACUGUUUGCAUUUCUCAGAGCAAUUCAUUCCUUAGCUAUAGAUAUGUGAGGAGUGCCUACUAAUUAUUACAAACUGUUAUGGGUACUGGGGAGAGAAGUGAAUUAGAGAGAUGAGGUCCAUGAUCUUAUUGAACUCACAUUCCAGUGUGGGGAGAUGGGCAAUAAUAAACAAAGAUAAAUUUUAUAGUUUUAGAUUUGAGUGCUGUGAAAAAGAAAACGAGUGAAGGGCUGGAGAAUGACUUGAAGUAAAGACACUAUUUUGGAAAGGGUGAUGGCGGGAGAUAUCCCUGAGGAAGCAAAUUUUGGAUAGAGAUGUGAAAGUUGAAAGCCUUGUUUGUCUCUCAUGAUACAAUACUAAAACAAACAAAAAAUCCAGAAAGUCCGAUAUAUCACAAUGAUAGUUAUAGGUGACUUUCCCUAAUGUAAACCAUUGUUUCAAAGCUUUAUGCUUCAUCUAUGUCUGUCCUCAUUUUGACCUCCUUAUUAUAUCCUUUUUUUUUUUCCUGGAGUUUUCUUUUUUUCUUUUAAAUCUUUCUCUAGAUUUCAGCCCUACUAUGUAAGUUUGCUAGGUCUACCAUGACCAAGUAUCUUAGACUGGAUGGUUUAAACAACAGAAGUUUAGUCUCCCCCCAAUUGUGGAGACUAGAAGUCAGAAGUCAAGAUAUUGGCAUAGUGGGUUUCUUCUGAGAUCCAUCUCCUUGGCUUGUAGAUGGCCAUCUUCUUCCUAUGUCUUCACAUGAUCUUUACUCUGUGUAUUUGUGUCCUUUAUAAGGACACUAGUCAUGUUAGAUUAGAGCCUACCCUACUGAACUCAUUUUGACUUAAUUUCCUCUUUAAAAAACCCCUUUUUAAAUACAGUCACAUUUGAAAGUGCUAGGGGUUAGGAUUUCAAAAUAUGAAUUUGGGUGGAAACACAACUCAGCCAAUACCUACCGUUCCUGUAGACCAGGCCAAUUCCUGCCUCUUCUGCAAAGUCUUCCCUACCUUUUAAACCAUUAUUAUCUUCCUUGUCCUAUUGAAAUUUAACACAAAGUUAAAUGCAGCUCAUCAACCUUAUGUUUUUUCCUUUUUUUUUUUUUUUUGGUUCAUUAAACCUCAAUAUGAUUGUUAAGUUUGCUGAGGGCAAGGAAAAUAUGUGAUACUAGUUUGAUUUUCUCAGCGUCUAUUGAAAGAGCUUUAUAGUCAAAACUCUUAAGGUUGAUAGGGGCUUUAGAAAAUAUCUACUUUAGCCUCAUUCUGUAUUUAGAAUCCUGUCUACAAGAGUUGCUAACAGAAAGCCCUCAUAUUUCCUACUUAGAUAUAAUGAUAGAAACAUUCAUAAAGCAACCUAUUACCAUGUCAUACAACUUUCCUUUAAGAUAUAUUUAUUUUAGAGAGAGAAAGAGCACAAGUCGGGGAGGAGCAGAGAGAAAGAAUCUGAAGUAGGUUCCCUGCUGAGCAUGGAACCUGACCUGGGGCUCCAUCUCACGACCCUGAGAUCAUGACCUGAGCCAAAGCCAAGAGUUGGUCACUUAGUUGACUGAGCCAUCAGGUACCCCAUGUCGUACAACUUUUGUUAUUAUUUUUACCUAAGCAGCUGGUAGGGAAGACCCACUUUUUUUGAUUCAUACAUGGCAGUGCCCAUAUAGCUUGCUUUUAAUGGGAAGUGAGAAGGGGAAAUUAAGAAUAUAUCCCAAAAUUGGCUAAGGCAAAAGAUGAAUGGUUACAUGACCUGUUACUUUUAUGCCAAUAAGCCUACCUUAGGAUCAUUUAAGGAUAUAUAACUUAUUGCAUAAUUGAUUAGCAUUCAAGAUAUUAACAACUCUGUUGAUCAGGAUAUGGUUUUAUUGCCCUUUACUAUGUUAACUAGUUUUGUAUCUGACAUAGCGUUAUCUCAGCAUUCUUUUUUAUCAGCUCAUUAUGAUAAAAAUGAACCCAACUUCAUAAUAUUUUAUUUCAAACCAACUUUGUCAUCAUGUUAAAUAAAACUUCGACAUGUUCACUUGUGAAUGAGAAUUGUGUUAACAUUUUGAAAGUUACUCUUUGAUAGGGCAUAAAAAAAUAACCAAAAACCUAAAUAUAGGCAGUGUCGGAUAAUAUGGAGAAAAAGCAGGAGAGGGUAGCUAAGGAGGUAGAUGGGUAUCAUUUGUGCAGAUGAUAUUCUUUGAAACCCAUUUUACUAUAGAAAUGGAGUCUUCUGUGCUUGGAUGAGCUGGCACCUGCAUUUUAAAGGAAGGUAGAAGCAACUUUAAAUAAUAGAGGGUAGAGAAAUUCUGAGGGAUUUUGGAGGAGAUUAAAUGUGAGCAGAGUUGAUUGCUGCAUGGAAGAGUCCCAGAAAAGGAGAUCUCCAGUGAAGGAACAGUCAAGAAAAGAAAAACUCAUUUCAGAAAGGCUUUUUAUAUUUAUUAUAGGAUAUGUAUUGUAAAUCCCCUCCUUCAUGUCCUCAGAGAUGAAGAAACUCUAAUCCUGCAGAAGAAAACCUAAUUCUUUUGUGGGAAUUGAUUUGGGGGUUAGGUGGAAGAAUGGUUCAAUGCUGCUCCAGGGUGACAAGGGGCCAAAUCAGUGACUGAAUAUGAGAAAACCAGAAAACCAGAACCAGAGCAGAGGAUGGCUAGGGGAGGUGGGCCAAUGAACAUAAAAGUUAUAAUAAUAUUAGGUACAUUUUUGAGAACUUACUUUAUGCCAGCACCAUGAACAUACUUCAAAUAUAUUAUAUUAAUAAUCUUGUAUCCACUUACUAAGUUUUUUAAAAUGUUAAACUCAAAUGAUAUCUCCCUAUCCUGUAUUUAUAAAAUUGAUUAUUUUACUGAAAUUCAAGACUGUUCAAUUCUGAGUUAAAGCUUUUAAAUUCUUAUUUGAUUACUUUUAGGAGCCAUCAUCUAAUACAUUAUCUAACAAAUCUUUCUACUUUGUUUUACAAGUAUAGAUCUAAUUAUACUGUCACUUUUCUCCAUCUUGUCCUCCAAAUACUAGGCUACCUUUUUAAUUGAAAGAGUUUCUCUGUUAUAUAGGAUGUGAUCCUGGACUGGUUCCCUUCCUUUUUGCUUCUUGGACUAGGGACACAAGCUUGAAGGCAUUCAUGAAGCCAGAAAGCCACUAGCAACAUGAAGAUGCUAAGAUGAAGCCUAAAGAAAUAUGUUGAAAUAUUAGAUGUUGGUCAGUCACUCCAAUGAAGGCAUUGGACAAGAUCAUCCCAUAAGCACUCAUUAGUUUUAAUCAAUCUGCCCACUUAUAUCUAUCAGGACUGAUGUAAAUAUAAGGUGGCUUAAUUUACAGGCUUCACUGAUGAAUCCUCUAUAACCAAGAGCAGCAAACAAUCUCACCUACGAGCUAUGGGUAGAGCAUGAUGUCACAGGGCCUACAGAAAUUUGAGAUGUAAAUCAGGUUAUAUCCCCAGCUCUAGAAAUGGGCCACCCACAUAAACCUUCCGAAAUAAUCCCCACAUUCCACAAAUUCUCCAGAAGAGGAGAUUUCACAACAUUCCCCAGUAACCAACUGCAGGAUUUCAUAGACCUACAUUUCUUAAUAUCUAAUCUGGAUCUUGCUGAACUUUAAACUCAUUUCCUCUUUUCCAUUCUCAAAGGAGGUGGGAAACAUCUGGAGAAUAUUUUCCUUAAAAUAAUAGUCCACAUACUCGAAGUCUGCAAUUAACUCCUUUUGUCUCUCUAAAUGGAAUCAUGUCAGCUGCCAAAUAGUUUAUAAAAUAGUUGAGAGGACUCCUAAAAGAGAAAGUUCUAAAGUGGAAUCCUUUUUUUGCUUGGUUCUGCUAGUCUCCCUAUAACAUGAACAUAUCAUUGUUCUCAGAGCAUAGAGCACCCAAAUUCUAGUUCUGACCUAAAAAAGUUACCUAUCCUGCCAAGGCAUUGGUUUCCUCAUUUGCAAAAUGGGAACAUUGGCUACAUGACUUCAAGGUCCCCUCUAGUUCUAAAAUUUUGUGGUAGCUGUGAACAUGAAUAACAUAUCCACACUUCAUAGAUAAAUGAUUUCAUGAAAGUACAUGCUCAAGCCUUUUGGAUAUCAUAAAGUUAAUUAAUCUCACACUUCCAGUUAUUUUUCAAUAUUCAUCUCUCCCUUCUUACAGUUGGAGAUGGAACAGGAAGAUUUGAAUGGUGCCCCCUCCCUACAUGGCCAAGAAACAGCAGAUAAUUCAAAAGCAAGAGCUGAGAAGAACUAACAAAAUACCACGGGUGCCUGAAGCCAAGCUUAUCGCAGAGAGGAGAGUACCCCUUCCUUCUCCCCUCAGAGUUCCUGGGGGAAAGUUCCAGGUGCGUACUUGGCAUGGUGGCGUUCCUGGCAGGCACACAACUGCCAACUAUUCCUGACCCGGUAGUUCCAACUUCAGCACCAGUGGCCAAUUUAUUCCUCUAGCACGCACCAGGAGGUGGACGCUAGCAAUUGCUAGUGUAGAAGAAACUUAGCCUCAAAAAUCAGAUUCUUUCCAUGUGGAUUUCAGUCCUGAGGAUCAACUGGGGACUCCUUUGGUGACAAUUUUUAUAGAUGACAACAGAAAUAAUUUUCCUUAAAAUCAAGUGUUACUAUUUCUUAGAUAGACAUUGAACUGGGAAAAAGAGCCUUAAAUACUUACUUGUCCCACAAUGAUCUCCAUAAUGCAUAAGCAGUACCCACAACCAAACUAAAAACUCAAGUUGCAAAGUUCUUGGUAGGAUUUGGAAUACCUAGCUCUUUCUAGGUGAUCAAGGACAUUAAGGAACUGGCAACAAGUUCUACAUUAUAUUUUGAAACCUGCUUUUAAAAAUUAAUAUAUAAUUAAAUAAUUUACACAAUUUUUAAUAUCUACCUUCAAAGGUCACACGGAGGAUUAGUUACCAUGACCUAUUUCCAUUUUCCUAACUCUUUCACGGUUCCGCACCCAGAUAGAUGACAAAACCAGUUUUUGAAAUGCAACACUGGAAGCAGAGAAAAUAACUGAAAAGACCCCAAUGACAUUCUUAGAACAGGAGAAGGUCAUCAGCAGAAUUAUAAAUGGAAAACAGAGACAAGAGAAUUUUUAAGAAGACUCUAAAGUUCUACAGCAUAGAGAAAAGGAGAGAAGAAAUGCAUAUUGGGCAUAAGCCCUCAUCCCAAUCCUACUCUGAGAAAGUGCAAGAAGUUGGGAAAGUAGGAACUGAGAACAUCAUCAGCCCAUGGGGAAGUCAGUGUUCAUGGUGAUAAGCUUUUCCUGCAUGAGAGAAGAAGAUGGUGGAUGCUUUCCACUCCCCAAAGGUCUUAUGGUCAAAUACCUGAAGCCCUUUGUACCUGGAUUCAGCAGAGAAGAGUCUCCUUCCUAGAGUGAAAAUCAGCUAGAACACAUUGGUCACAGAUGCCAUUGUUUCUCUUUGAGCAGCUGAACCACAGUGGCUUGGUUACUCCCUGCUUGAGCCAUGCCCUUCUCCAGCAGCCACAGAGACAACUGGAAGACAGACUUGUUGGAAAGCCAGCAAGUAUGAACUGAGAAAUCAUCUUAAGGCUCGAAUGAGUAGCAUCUGACGGGACAAAAAAUACCCGACUCACCAUUUCAUCAAAAGGCAAAGUUCAGUCCCUUCUUCUGUCAGAAAGUUUGAUAGCAGCAAAGGCUUCGAUGGGAACUGCACGCCCAACGGACUUUCCUAACACUGGACGGAUUUGGAAUGUGCCGUUCUUGCUGCUAAAGACGUUUUUCCACUCUUGGCCUUCCAAAACCCAGAGUUCAAAGCUGCACUACUAGUUUUUUAUGCGGGAGCAAAUUGACCACAACACUAUUAGAAAAAGACAUGAGUCAGUGUGUUUGGCUCUUUGUUUCUUUGUGGUGAUCUUUGGAAAGGAAGGCUUGUAAGGAAAGAAAAGCAAGGAAAGACCAGUUUGCAUCUUUUCCUUGAGGGGUGUUUGCUUAAAAAAUAACAACCCCAAACCAGGCUAUUAUUGGGAUUUAUAUUAAGCAUUUCCAAGCUUUGAAACGGGAACAAAGUCCACCAGACCCUUGUGAGCUUCUGAUUUAUGCUGCCACGAUGCUCUGGAUGUGAUACAGUUAAAGUUCAGCCUGAAUUAGUAGAAAGAAGAAGACUUCAGGAGGAGAACGAUCUAGGUUCAUAGUCUAGCUCCAACAUUCACUAUUAAAUGAGAUUUGCUUACUCUUUCUAAGCCUCCACUACCUCAGGUGUAAAAUGUAGAUAAAAUCUUCCUCUAUCUAAUUCAAAUGAAGGAAUGAAUAUACAACACAUCAUAAAUAUAUAAAGUCUAUAAACAGUAAAUUUUUCUACAAAGUUUAUUAUUGUCAGUAUCAUUCUCUUAAUUUUUAAAAGUUCCCAAAUUAAGAUACUUACUAAUGCUUUUGCUGAUGUGGUGAUAAUGAAUUCUAUUUUAUAAAAACAAGGUACUAAGCCUCUCCAGUGUUCUUGCUCUGUUGAAAAGGAGCCAUGGAUUCUUUCUUUAGUCACUGGCUCACGUCUGCAGAUGAGAAUUUUAUUUAUAUGUAUUCAAAUGUGAUUUAAACACAUGGUGAUUCUUUUAUGGCUAAAUAUAAAAAAUUUACAAGUUAAAUGUUAUUACUAUCUUUACCAUUUACUUUAGAGCUUGCUCAUGCUAUAAUUUGUAAAUACUUUACAAGGCAGGGGAAAAUACACACCCAUAAUUAUUUCUCGAUGUUGUCUGGCUCAUGAUAGCUGGGUAAAUUCUUUUAUUUUAUUAUUUUAAAAAGAGUUUUCAUUGAAAGUUUUUCCAGUCACUCCAAAUAAACUUAGCUGUAAAUGGAAAAGAUACAGCUGAUUGCUCUGGCUUCUUGAGCGUGUCUUCUGCCCCUGUCCCGCUCUUCACUGAGUCAGAAGGAAAG
Molecule: long non-coding RNA, 12056 nt
Organism: Canis lupus familiaris (dog)
Lineage: Eukaryota; Metazoa; Chordata; Mammalia; Carnivora; Canidae
Exons: 16
Source: RefSeq, a predicted model, not a curated record